AGCCUUAUAUUCAUUUAUGAUAUAAAAUUGCAAAUUUUAAGGUGUAAAUUAAAAUUACUAAGGCUU
Molecule: transfer RNA, 66 nt
Filed under: Delias hyparete (painted jezebel)
Lineage: Eukaryota; Metazoa; Arthropoda; Insecta; Lepidoptera; Pieridae
Description: tRNA-Cys
Source: RNAcentral